Non-coding RNA from Cricetulus griseus (Chinese hamster), 2189 nucleotides. Lineage: Eukaryota; Metazoa; Chordata; Mammalia; Rodentia; Cricetidae. The record is from RefSeq and is a predicted model, not a curated record.
GCCACACCCUCAAUCCUGCACCAUCAGCCCCUACAACAGAGCCUGAUAUAGUGUAAGCACCUAGGGGGCUGGCUCUUGGCUGAAACAGUGCCUCCUUUCCAGUGGUCCUGACACCCUGGAGGUGAGUUCCCUCCUACUGACCUCUUCCAGACCCUACAUCCCACACAGCCAUACAGCACUUCCUACAGGCAGGGCAGGGAUGCUCCUCCCUAGCCUUCCCUCAGGGAUGGCACACAGGAAGAUGUGUGCCAGCUUGCCUAACAGGGAAUGAAGUAGCAGGAUGGCUUCCCCAGGUUUCUGGCCACAAGAAGCAGCAAUGGCUUGGGUCCCAGCAUCUCCCCACACCUCUGCCUCUUAACCUCCGCUCAGAAAAAGCAGGUGUUCUGUACCAUCUCUGCUUCCUUCAAGGAUGGGGAUGCCCAACAUGACUUCCCUGAGGUCCGCUAAGAUGGUUACCCACUGUGGCUGGGCAGCCAGCCAGUGAAGCCCAGGGGCAGCUUGUGUUCUAGAUCCCCAUCCCUGUGCCCAAUCCCUCCACCUCCCUAGUGAAGGAGUCUUGACUGCCCUAUGGAAAGCACCCUGCCCAGGGCCUCUCUGCCCACCUCCCCAGCCUCGCCCAUCUGCUCUGCCUUGGGGAGGGGGACCCUUCUUGCUGGGACUUCAACCCUCACCCACUCGGCUAACCCUAAGGAGGCUCCCAGGUCUACACAGAAAGCAGGUGAAAUGCAUGAGUGAAGGUCUCCAAGACAAGGGGACAUAAGCCCCCCAGUAAGCAGUCUAGAUUUGGGAGAAACCCCAACCUAGAGGUGGGGGCAGGAAGAUGUGCCCCACCCGGCCUCCUCCCCCACCCAGGUACCAAGCCCGGAAACCACGGAAAGGGGAACUUGCUCUUUUCUUGUUUUGCACUCAACCCCUUCCUGUCUCAAAGCUUGGGGCAGCUACUUGGCUCACCCCACCCUGGCCCCCACCCUCAUCGCCCAGAAGCUCCCUCCCAGGGACACAGGUCCCGAGACCAGCUGUGGCCGCUCCCAGCGCGCCCACCUCCAUCUUGGUCACGAUGGUCCUUUGCCCUCACCUUGGAGCACUCUGGGACCUGCUUGCCGCUUCACACUCCUUGGUCCCGGGCCCUCCCGGCGAGGCUCAUGAACAGGUUCCCUGAACCGCAGCCCGGUGGCCCUGACAGCUCGCCCGCCCCCACAGCCCUGCUCCCACGCUGGCGCUGGCGCUGGCCCCACAGGUGGCCCAUGGCAGCGGUGCCCGGCCCUUGUGACCAGCCCUCCCCCAGCACCCAAUCUCACCUGCUGCGGGGAGCUGAGCGUGACCCCCCCAAGUGGAGGAGGAAGGAGAGGAGGAUGGAGGAGCCGCAGGCUGGCCGCCGAAGAUGCUCUGUCAAGACAAUGAAUGAGCAGCGGCCGUGCGCCGGCCUCCUCCCGGUGGCAGCGCCCCCUUUGGGCGGAGCUUCUGGAGGCCCGGCCCUUCUCUCCCUGAGGCGAUGCUGAGACCGCUCUGCACGCUGUCAGCUCCAACCCCCGAACAGAUGCUGACGCGAAUCAGCUCUUCUUUUAAUGUCAAAACGCAAAAAUAUCCAGUUCCUUCAUCCCUCCCCCGGCCGCCCGCAGCCUCCUCGAGGUCCUUUUCCUGGUACCGGAGGAAGCUCCCGAAAGGCUGCGACCAGCUUGAGAGCCUUGUCUAAGCCGGACCGCUCUCGUCGCUGCCCCGAAACGGACUCCUUCAUGGCCUUGGAGUCAAUUUCUCAUCUCUUGAGACACAGGGCUUCAACGGGGACACCCUUGCCCUCUGCUUCACAGGGUUGAGACCCGGAAGCAGCAAAAUGAUUGGGCAGUACGGAGAGCCUGUUUUGUGCUCUGGGCUGAGAGGACAAAUGAGACAGUCUCUCCUCUCUAUAGAGCUCUCAGCCUGGGGUCUGCCACAGUUUCAAGGCCACUGAGUACAGACAGAAGUCGGAUAGCACACACACCUGUCCCUCAGGGGUGCUAUGUUGUCGCAGAAGCAAGGGCUGGGCAAGAAAGGCCUUUGCUAAAGUCACUGAGGCUCUUGGCUGUCACUCCUCUGAGUGACUUUUGGCAGGUCACUUUAAUUUCAUCUCAGCCGCAAUUUUCCCUGUAUAAUGGUCUUACCCGCCUCAUAUGGAGAGCUGGACACACAUCUACAGAGUGGCAGGUACUAAG